RNAcentral lists this non-coding RNA (98 nucleotides) under Actinoplanes awajinensis. RNAcentral's name for it is "Glycine sequence". It matches the Rfam family "Glycine riboswitch aptamer". Rfam says of the family: This family represents the bacterial glycine riboswitch. Glycine riboswitches usually consist of two metabolite-binding aptamers domains with similar structures in tandem. Lineage: Bacteria; Bacillati; Actinomycetota; Actinomycetes; Micromonosporales; Micromonosporaceae. RNAcentral also lists the same sequence under 1 other name. The record is from RNAcentral.
ACAACCGCUGCGGGAGAGCACUCGCCGAAACCGGGCGGGUCGCCGAAGGAGCAACUUCUCCCUCAGAAUCUCUCAGGCCCACGUACCGCAACGGUCAG